RNAcentral lists this ribosomal RNA (352 nucleotides) under uncultured Anoxybacillus sp. RNAcentral's name for it is "bacterial SSU rRNA". It matches the Rfam family "Bacterial small subunit ribosomal RNA", at positions 1029 to 1382 of the family's 1533-position model. The record is from RNAcentral. Lineage: Bacteria; Bacillati; Bacillota; Bacilli; Caryophanales; Anoxybacillaceae.
GGGUGACAGGUGGUGCAUGGUUGUCGUCAGCUCGUGUCGUGAGAUGUUGGGUUAAGUCCCGCAACGAGCGCAACCCUCGACCUUAGUUGCCAGCAUUCAGUUGGGCACUCUAAGGUGACUGCCGGCUAAAAGUCGGAGGAAGGUGGGGAUGACGUCAAAUCAUCAUGCCCCUUAUGACCUGGGCUACACACGUGCUACAAUGGGCGGUACAAAGGGUCGCGAACCCGCGAGGGGGAGCCAAUCCCAAAAAGCCGCUCUCAGUUCGGAUUGCAGGCUGCGACUCGCCUGCAUGAAGCCGGAAUCGCUAGUAAUCGCGGAUCAGCAUGCCGCGGUGAAUACGUUCCCGGGCCUU